This 101-nucleotide microRNA precursor is filed under the name Xyrichtys novacula (pearly razorfish). Lineage: Eukaryota; Metazoa; Chordata; Actinopteri; Labriformes; Labridae. The record is from RNAcentral.
GUUGGUGUUCUUCUGAAGAGGACAAUGCCACUCUACAGAAACAGCAGGCCCCAUGCUGUUUCUGUAGAGUUGCAUUGUCCUCUUCAGAAAAACACCAACAC